AGUGAACGCUGGCGGUAGGCCUAACACAUGCCAGUCGAACGGCAGCACAGUAAGAGCUUGCUCUUACGGGUGGCGAGUGGCGGACGGGCGAGGAAUACAUCGGAAUCUACUUUUUCGUGGGGGAUAACGUAGGGAAACUUACGCUAAUACCGCAUACGACCUACGGGUGAAAGCAGGGGAUCUUCGGACCUUGCGCGAUUGAAUGAGCCGAUGUCGGAUUAGCUAGUUGGCGGGGUAAAGGCCCACCAAGGCGACGAUCCGUAGCUGGUCUGAGAGGAUGAUCAGCCACACUGGAACUGAGACACGGUCCAGACUCCUACGGGAGGCAGCAGUGGGGAAUAUUGGACAAUGGGCGCAAGCCUGAUCCAGCCAUACCGCGUGGGUGAAGAAGGCCUUCGGGUUGUAAAGCCCUUUUGUUGGGAAAGAAAAGCAGCAGGUUAAUACCCCGCUGUUCUGACGGUACCCAAAGAAUAAGCACCGGCUAACUUCGU
RNAcentral lists this ribosomal RNA (491 nucleotides) under uncultured bacterium. Its description in RNAcentral is "partial 16S ribosomal RNA". It matches the Rfam family "Bacterial small subunit ribosomal RNA", at positions 29 to 506 of the family's 1533-position model. The record is from RNAcentral.